GUCGAACGCAGUAGCAAUACUGAGUGGCAAACGGGUGAGUAUAAUGUGGGAAUCUGCCUUGUGGUUCAGGACAACAUUGGGAAACCGAUGCUAAUACUGGAUAAGCCCUUACGGGGAAAGUUUUAAUGCCAAAAGAUGAGCCCGCACUUGAUUAGCUAGUUGGUAAGGUAAUGGCUUACCAAGGCAACGAUCAAUAGCUGUUCUUAGAGGACGAUCAGCCACACUGGAACUGAGACACGGUCCAGACUCC
This 250-nucleotide ribosomal RNA is filed under the name uncultured bacterium. RNAcentral describes it as "partial 16S ribosomal RNA". It matches the Rfam family "Bacterial small subunit ribosomal RNA", at positions 61 to 339 of the family's 1533-position model. The record is from RNAcentral.